RNAcentral lists this ribosomal RNA (744 nucleotides) under Streptomyces sp. B1Y21. Its description in RNAcentral is "bacterial SSU rRNA". It matches the Rfam family "Bacterial small subunit ribosomal RNA", at positions 85 to 840 of the family's 1533-position model. Lineage: Bacteria; Bacillati; Actinomycetota; Actinomycetes; Kitasatosporales; Streptomycetaceae. The record is from RNAcentral.
GAGGGGAUUAGUGGCGAACGGGUGAGUAACACGUGGGCAAUCUGCCCUGCACUCUGGGACAAGCCCUGGAAACGGGGUCUAAUACCGGAUACGACCUCUCGAAGGCAUCUUUGAAGGUGGAAAGCUCCGGCGGUGCAGGAUGAGCCCGCGGCCUAUCAGCUUGUUGGUGGGGUGAUGGCCUACCAAGGCGACGACGGGUAGCCGGCCUGAGAGGGCGACCGGCCACACUGGGACUGAGACACGGCCCAGACUCCUACGGGAGGCAGCAGUGGGGAAUAUUGCACAAUGGGCGAAAGCCUGAUGCAGCGACGCCGCGUGAGGGAUGACGGCCUUCGGGUUGUAAACCUCUUUCAGCAGGGAAGAAGCGAAAGUGACGGUACCUGCAGAAGAAGCGCCGGCUAACUACGUGCCAGCAGCCGCGGUAAUACGUAGGGCGCAAGCGUUGUCCGGAAUUAUUGGGCGUAAAGAGCUCGUAGGCGGCUUGUCGCGUCGGAUGUGAAAGCCCGGGGCUUAACCCCGGGUCUGCAUUCGAUACGGGCAGGCUAGAGUUCGGUAGGGGAGAUCGGAAUUCCUGGUGUAGCGGUGAAAUGCGCAGAUAUCAGGAGGAACACCGGUGGCGAAGGCGGAUCUCUGGGCCGAUACUGACGCUGAGGAGCGAAAGCGUGGGGAGCGAACAGGAUUAGAUACCCUGGUAGUCCACGCCGUAAACGUUGGGAACUAGGUGUGGGCGACAUUCCACGUCGU